Molecule: ribosomal RNA, 492 nt
Filed under: uncultured bacterium
Lineage: Bacteria
Description: partial 16S ribosomal RNA
Rfam family: Bacterial small subunit ribosomal RNA
Source: RNAcentral
AGUGAACGCUGGCGGUAGGCCUAACACAUGCAAGUCGAACGGCAGCACAGUAAGAGCUUGCUCUUACGGGUGGCGAGUGGCGGACGGGUGAGGAAUAUAUCGGAAUCUACUUUUUCGUGGGGGAUAACGUAGGGAAACUUACGCUAAUACCGCAUACGCCCUACGGGUGAAAGCAGGGGAACUUCGGACCUGGCGCGAUUGGAUGAGCCGAUGUCGUAUUAGCUGGUGGGGGGGGUUAAGGCCAACCAAGGCGACGAUCCGUAGCUGGUCUGAGUGGAUGGUCAGCCACACUGGAACUGAGACACGGUCCAUACUCCUACGGGACGCAGCAGUGGGGAAUAUUGGACAAUGGGCGCAAGCCUGAUCCAGCCAUCCCGCGUGUGUGAAGAAGGCCUUCGGGUUGUAAAGCCCUUUUGUUGGGAAAGAAAAGCAGCAGGUUAAUACCCCGCUGUUCUGACGGUACCCAAAGAAUAAGCACCGGCUAACUUCGUG